ACGGCUCAGUAACACGUGGACAACCUACCCUCAGCACGGGGAUAAACCCGGGAAACUGGGUAUAAUACCCGAUAGUUCUGGUAUGCUGGAAUGCUAUCAGGGCGAAAGCUCCGGCGACUGAGGAUGGGUCUGCGGCCUAUCAGGUAGUAGUGGGUGUAAUGUACCUACUAGCCUACGACGGGUACGGGUCGUGAGAGCGAGAGCCCGGAGAUGGAUUCUGAGACACGAAUCCAGGCCCUACGGGGUGCAGCAGGCGCGAAAACUUUACAAUGCUGGCAACAGCGAUAAGGGGACCUCGAGUGCCAGGAUACAAUCUUGGCUGUCGUAAUGCCUAAAAAGCAUUGCAUAGCAAGGGCCGGGCAAGACCGGUGCCAGCCGCCGCGGUAACACCGGCGGCUCGAGUGGUAACCGCUAUUAUUGGGUCUAAAGGGUCUGUAGCCGGCCGGAUAAGUCUCUUGGGAAAUCCAGCAGCUCAACUGUUGGGCUUUCAGGAGAUACUGUUCGGCUCGAGGCCGGGAGAGGUGAGAGGUACUUCAGGGGUAGGGGUGAAAUCUUGUAAUCCUUGAAGGACCACCAGUGGCGAAGGCGUCUCACCAGAACGGUCCUGACGGCAAGGGACGAAAGCUAGGGGCACGAACCGGAUUAGAUACCCGGGUAGUCCUAGCCGUAAACGAUACUCGCUAGGUGUCAGCCACGGUGCGACCGUGGUUGGUGCCGUAGGGAAGCCGUGAAGCGAGCCACCUGGGAAGUACGGCCGCAAGGCUGAAACUUAAAGGAAUUGGCGGGGGAGCAC
Molecule: ribosomal RNA, 793 nt
Filed under: uncultured Methanotrichaceae archaeon
Lineage: Archaea; Methanobacteriati; Methanobacteriota; Methanomicrobia; Methanotrichales; Methanotrichaceae
Description: bacterial SSU rRNA
Rfam family: Archaeal small subunit ribosomal RNA
Source: RNAcentral